AUUGAACGCUGGCGGCAGGCCUAACACAUGCAAGUCGAGCGGAUGAAGGGAGCUUGCUCCUGGAUUCAGCGGCGGACGGGUGAGUAAUGCCUAGGAAUCUGCCUGGUAGUGGGGGUAACGUCCGGAAACGGGCGCUAAUACCGCAUACGUCCUGAGGGAGAAAGUGGGGGAUCUUCGGACCCCACGCUAUCAGAUGAGCCUAGGUCGGAUUAGCUAGUUGGUGGGGUAAAGGCCUACCAAGGCGACGAUCCGUAACUGGUCUGAGAGGAUGAUCAGUCACACUGGAACUGAGACACGGUCCAGACUCCUACGGGAGGCAGCAGUGGGGAAUAUUGGACAAUGGGCGAAAGCCUGAUCCAGCCAUGCCGCGUGUGUGAAGAAGGUCUUCGGAUUGUAAAGCACUUUAAGUUGGGAGGAAGGGCAGUAAGUUAAUACCUUGCUGUUUUGACGUUACCAACAGAAUAAGCACCGGCUAACUUCGUG
This 483-nucleotide ribosomal RNA is filed under the name uncultured bacterium. Its description in RNAcentral is "partial 16S ribosomal RNA". It matches the Rfam family "Bacterial small subunit ribosomal RNA", at positions 30 to 507 of the family's 1533-position model. The record is from RNAcentral.